This 1453-nucleotide long non-coding RNA is filed under the name Felis catus (domestic cat). Its description in RNAcentral is "lncRNA (ENSFCAG00000044607.2)". Lineage: Eukaryota; Metazoa; Chordata; Mammalia; Carnivora; Felidae. The record is from RNAcentral.
GACCGUGCACAGGAAGGGGGCUGAUGAGCGGGGCUGAAGACAGAUUCCCCCCCCCAAAGGGGAGAAAAGCAUUCCCAGAAAUAUACGAGUCAUCGUCGGCAAUGUCAACCCAGAGAAAGGGACAUCGCGAAGCCCCGGACGACAGAAAACAUCUAGUAGUUGGAACCCAGAGGAGCGAAGGAAGUAAGAUUUGCUGAUUUCAACGGCCAGCCAAUGCAUCAUAAAACUCCGUUCUCACAGCCACCAGGAAGACCCUGAGAAUGAUUGCCCAAGUUGUGCCAUUUACUUAUUAACCAAGAAGUAAAUUUGCGUUAUGGGCACGUUAUUUACUCUGUUGGAAAAUACCUUCUCGGCGCUCCUGUUUUCUCCUUUCUGAUGGUAAGAUUUAAAUGAGGUAAUAUGCGUGAAGCUGUUAACACAGCAAUUGGAAAACAGUAAAUGCUCAACACGUGCUGGAUGUUAUUACCCUUCAGGAUGGAGAGGCUGGCCCAGAGCGGUUAAGUAACUUGGCUAACCCACGAGGCUGAACGAUGUCAUAGCCCGGAUUCCCACCUGGCUCCUAACGCUCACACUCCGGAUUCUGCGCUAGGUUCUGGUGCUGCGGAAACACCGUGAGCUGUCCUGGUGCGAGGGAUCCCCGCAGCCGGAUGGUCUCGACGUGAAUUGUCAGCUGUAACUUUUUUGGAGAUACACCUUAUCCGCUCAGCUCGUGAAAAGUUCACGGGCCCUUGGGAUCCUUAUCUCUGCCUGAGGAAUACCUUCGUUCAUUAAUGAGCAAACCACUGAGUAAAUAAAUAAACACAAGCAAAGGGGAGGCCGAGAUGUUAGGCAAACAUUUGCAGAGCACGAUGCCAGGCCUUUCCGGGGCUGGGAGCUGCCGAGAUCUACCCCCGCUCAGAUGCCCAGGGCUUGCCUGGAAGACAGAAAGUCUCCUUCAGAAAACCCCUGGGGGCUACCUAGACUCUGUACCCCAGAGACGCCUUCUAUCUCUGGGCAUCAGUUUCUCAUCUAUGAGGAAGCGAGGCCCGGACUUUGGAGAAUCCGAAGCUGAGCAGCCUGGGUCCUCCAGGCUGAGCAGUCUCCUCUCAAAACUGAUGAAAGCAGAAUGGGUUUCACUUUGCCACAUGCCUUUCAAUCUUCCAAGGAAGGAUGGAAUAAAGGAGUGCGAAAUCUAGCAAAGCGAAGAUGUACGUGCUUGGAAUGGAAGCAAAUGGUGGAGCAUCAGUGAAUCGUGCAGGAAGCCACAUCUGAAAGAUUUUCAAGGGGGAGGCACACCCCGUGGACUGAUUUUCCAUGGACUCUUCCAAUGAGAGAUGAAACUUGAACUGGGCAUUGAAACCCAAGCAAUGUUUCAGACAGAUUCUGUGUCUCCCUCUCUCUCUGACCCUGCCCGGUUCAUGCUCUGUCUCUCCUUGUCUCAAAAAUAAAUAAACGUUAAAAAAAUUUUUUUUCA